GAACAGUGGGUGCUGGAUGGGUCUUGGUUGUGCUUGUACAUGCUAUCUCCACAGACAAAGAUGGUUCAUGAUUUUAGUUUGGAACUGAUUUUGUGUUCAAAUGAGAUUGUGGUUUGAAAGGCCUUCAUGAGUUUGUGUGUCUGCAGGCCUUUGUUUUCCAGGUGGAGCUAACCAAGCGGCGCCCAAAGGCCUCCUUAAAAAAGGCAUGUCUCCUGAUGAUGUUUCACUUGAAAGAGUUGUUGAACUUCUAUCUUUGGAGUCUGGGUUGAAACUACAUACUCCAGUGCUCAUUUCGAUGACAACUGACUCUUCAAGCCCAACCAGCAACCAAAGGGGGCAUUUGGAGAAACGAGCAGCUAGGGCCAAUUGAAUGACUCCGGUGGCCACAACGCAAGGGGCAACUGAAUGAUGCUGUCAUCUAUGACCAGCAGAGCUACAACGUGAGUAAAGGUCAGCAUGAUUACUUCUCUCAGAAAGUCCGGGAAAGGGUCAACCAGAGCAACAUCCAACAGAGUACUUUCAACAAGUCCAUCAGAACGUCAACACUGACUACAAAUGGAGUCCUUACAAGUCCAGCAGGAUGACUUAACUGAAGGCUUUGUUUUAAACAUAUGAUUUGUUCAGAGUGCUAUUUUAUAUAACUCCUGUCUGAUUGAAUUAAAAUUUUUCCCUUCA
This is a long non-coding RNA of Syngnathoides biaculeatus (alligator pipefish), 675 nucleotides long. RefSeq lists it as uncharacterized. NCBI's taxonomy places the organism in Eukaryota, Metazoa, Chordata, Actinopteri, Syngnathiformes, Syngnathidae. The record is from RefSeq and is a predicted model, not a curated record. The transcript is spliced from 3 exons.